CUGGGGGCCAGAUGGAGACCAGGUGCUUUACCUUAAUGUGAGUGACAGCACAGUUCUGCUCAGUGAAUGCUCAGCGAGGAAUGACUGCCGGCUUGCGUCGCGUACACAACUGAUGGGCUUUCUGAAAAGACCCGAAGCAACAAGACCAAUGCCAUUCACCAAUAAAGGGAACCAGGUCUCCUUGGAAAAUGGCUGAUUCUAGGACCGAGACAGAUCUUUCUGGCCACCGUGUGGUGAAUGAGCAGUGGUGGGGCAGGCACAGAGGCUGACAGAGCGCUUAGGAACCAUUGCGGUGGACCAGGAGAGAGAGACAGAGUGUGAUUGGGGAGGCGCAGAGAGAGAGACACCCACAGAAUCCACAGCAGGCUCCAGGCUCUGAGCUGUUAGCACAGAGCCCAACGCAGAGCUCAGAGUCGCAAACCACAAGAUCACGACUUGAGCCGAUGUCAGAUGCUUAACCCAAUGAGCCAUCCAGGCGCCCCCCAGAAAAGGUUAGUUAUGGUGCUGUUCUAGGCUCUUGAAGAUACAAAGAGGAGCAAAACAGACAAAAACUCCUGCCCUCUUGGACCUCACUUGCUAAAGGGGAGACAGAGAGGAAACAGAAGAGACUGAAAAAUAUACAUCGUAUAAUGGUGUCGGACGUUGAUGACAAUUUAGUGGAGACCUGAAUGAAGCAAGGGAACGAGACCUAUGGUUAUGUUGGGCGGUGUUUUUCAGGCAGGGAGCAGCUAGUGACAGAUCCCUGAGAAUGGAACACACCUGGAAGUUUCGAGCAAUGGCAAGUGCGCUGGCUAGAGCACCAAGAGUGACCUGUCGAGCGUGAGGCAGUGAGGCCACAGGACCUUACCAGAGGCGCUCAACAGUUUGGGUUGUCAAGACAAGUCAGGGGCAGCAACCAAUCAGCUCCUCGUAUUAAACAGCAUAUUUUGCUGAGCUGGAUUUGACUCCUGGUUGCUACAAAACAAAUCUAAGUUUAUAUCAGAGGUGACAAACUCCAUGCCCUGUCAUUUAUCCUUUUUAUAGCAUGGGCGACACCAAUGGUCAGCAAGUCUUGUUGAUGAGCAUGUGAAUCAAGUAGAGCAGAAAGCAUCCCAAGUCUAGAGGUUUCCUCUGUCAAUAGGUAGAAAUUGUUUGUUUUAAUUAAAAGAGAACUAAUUUAAAACAAAUUC
Long non-coding RNA from Neofelis nebulosa (Clouded leopard), 1169 nucleotides. RefSeq lists it as uncharacterized. The record is from RefSeq and is a predicted model, not a curated record. Lineage: Eukaryota; Metazoa; Chordata; Mammalia; Carnivora; Felidae. The transcript has 7 exons.